CCGUAGCAAGCCUACUAUAUAUCCUGUGUACCUGAUAAAAUCCCAUACAUGAUCAUACAUUAUAACAAAAACUUAAACAUUUCCAUGAAACCGAGCUCAACCUGUGCAUGUAUCAUACUGAAAACAUAAAACCCAUACUAGAGCCCUCAUCAAAUGCUCUAGUAUGGUUAACAUCACAUGCCUCAAGCUUGAUUCAAACAUAAAACAUAUUUAAAACUUUUACAUAAAUAUCAUGUUAACAGGGAUUAUAAGGUAAAGAAAACUAGGGCCAAGCACAAUACUAAUCCAUUAAACAUUACAUGUCCACAACUAUUCUAUUACAUCAGCUACAUCAGCCACUAAGCUGACUCCCCGUGCUAUCUCUGAUCCUGCAAACCUGGGGUUAGGGGAAAGGAAUAAGCUACUAGAGCCUAGUGAGCAGAAUCACAAAAACAGUUUAAUAAACAUAUGCUCAUAUGAAAUGCAUCAUAGCACAAACAAAUCACAACAAGAUGGACUUGUCACCAGUAACCCUCUACAUAUUCCAAACAGUGCCCGGCCCUCGACGGAGCUUCUCAGGACUUCCUCUUAAACAUAACAUAACAUAUCCAUAAAUGCCAGGGGCAUAGAAUGGGCAGCCCUUGUAUUUCUCUUACAUAGUGUCAGGGCGCGUAGAAUGGGCAGCCCUGGUCUUCUGUAUCCGUCAUAACAUAAUCUGCUCGAGGGCUAGUGGGUCAUCCAAUAUCCAUCCACAACAACAGUAAAUUAUGCAAUGCAUCAUAUUCGUGAAUUCUAAUGCAACAACCUAUUACGUAACAUGGCAUUCGUGAUGCAUGAACGUGCUCAAAAAGUUUAAUUACUUUAAAACAAGAGAUUAGUUCAGUUCUACUCACCUCUGGCUGACGCUUAACUAAAACUAUAGCAGCUGACUCACUGCUGGCCUCUACGGUCUCCCAGGUCCGAUCCUACACAGAUGGAUUCCCAUGAGGGACCAAACAUAGCUAAUACAUGACUCUAAACAACUCCC
RNAcentral lists this long non-coding RNA (1006 nucleotides) under Manihot esculenta (cassava). RNAcentral's name for it is "long non-coding RNA (MESC_LNC007880)". Lineage: Eukaryota; Viridiplantae; Streptophyta; Magnoliopsida; Malpighiales; Euphorbiaceae. The record is from RNAcentral.